GCGCCGGUAGCUCAGUUGGUAGAGCAAGGGACUCUUAAUCCCUGGGUCCUCGGUUCAAGUCCGAGUCGGCGUAC
This 74-nucleotide transfer RNA is filed under the name Streptomyces phage Wakanda. Its description in RNAcentral is "tRNA-Lys". It matches the Rfam family "tRNA". Rfam says of the family: Transfer RNA (tRNA) molecules are approximately 80 nucleotides in length. Their secondary structure includes four short double-helical elements and three loops (D, anti-codon, and T loops). RNAcentral also lists the same sequence under 1 other name. The record is from RNAcentral. Lineage: Duplodnaviria; Heunggongvirae; Uroviricota; Caudoviricetes; Stanwilliamsviridae.